CAGGGAUUAUGAAUAAUUUAUUGAUCCUUUGUUUGAUAAACAAAAUUAAUAUAGACAAAUUAUAAUUUUUUUCUUUCAUAUUCCUUGCCAGAUGAAAUAAUUUUGCUUUUAAACACAGAGGAUGAUCUAAAAGAUAUAACCAACACAGGGUUUCGAGAUAAAGUUGAAACUUCAAAAUUAAUAAUAUCCACAUUCCCUUGAUAGCGAUAACUUUACAUGUAUUGUUUGUUUAUUAAAAUCCAGCGUCAAAUGGAUAUUCAUGUUCUAUUUGUAAAUCCACAGAGCAUGUUAUGUGUGGUACAUGCAAAAAA
This 311-nucleotide long non-coding RNA is filed under the name Mytilus galloprovincialis (Mediterranean mussel). The record is from RNAcentral. Lineage: Eukaryota; Metazoa; Mollusca; Bivalvia; Mytilida; Mytilidae.